UAGUGGGGGAUAGCCCGGCGAAAGCCGGAUUAAUACCGCAUACGCUCUACGGAGGAAAGGGGGAUCUUAGGACCUCUCGCUACAGGGGCGGCCGAUGGCAGAUUAGCUAGUUGGUGGUAAAGGCCUACCAAGGCGACGAUCUGUAGCUGGUCUGAGAGGACGACCAGCCACACUGACUGAGACACGGCCCAGACUCCUACGGGAGGCAGCAGUGGGGAAUUUUGGACAAUGGGCAAGCCUGAUCCAGCAAUGCCGCGUGUGUGAAGAAGGCCUUCGGGUUGUAAAGCACUUGUCCGGAAAGAAAACGUCGUGGUUAAUACCCGUGGCGGAUGACGGUACCGGAAGAAUGCACCGGCUAACUACGUGCCAGCAGCCGCGGUAAUACGUAGGGUGCAAGCGUUAAUCGAUUACUGGGCGUAAAGCGUGCGCAGGCGGUCCGCUAAGACAGAUGUGAAAUCCCCGGGUAACCUGGGAACUGCAUUUGUGACUGGCGGGCUAGAGUAUGGCAGAGGGGGGUAGAAUCACGUGUAGCAGUGAAAUGCGUAGAGAUGUGGAGGAAUACCGAUGGCGAAGGCAGCCCUGGGCCAAUACUGACGCUCAUGCACGAAAGCGUGGGGAGCAAACAGGAUUAGAUACCCGUAGUCCACGCCCUAAACGAUGUCAACUAGUUGUCGGGUCUUCAUUGACUUGGUAACG
This 696-nucleotide ribosomal RNA is filed under the name uncultured bacterium. Its description in RNAcentral is "bacterial SSU rRNA". It matches the Rfam family "Bacterial small subunit ribosomal RNA", at positions 134 to 848 of the family's 1533-position model. The record is from RNAcentral.